AACGCGAAGAACCUUACCCAGGCUCGAAAUGCAAGUGGCGAUAUCAGAGAUGAUAUUUUCCGUAAGGACGCUUGUAUAGGUGCUGCAUGGCUGUCGUCAGCUCGUGCCGUGAGGUGUUUGGUUAAGUCCAGCAACGAGCGCAACCCUUAUCAUUAGUUGCCAACACGCAAGGUGGGGACUCUAAUGAGACUGCCUAGGUUAACUAGGAGGAAGGUGAGGAUGACGUCAAGUCCGCAUGGCCUUUAUGUCUGGGGCUACACACGUGCUACAAUGGUCGGUACAGAAGGCAGCAAGACCGUAAGGUGGAGCAAAUCCGUAAAACCGAUCUCAGUUCAGAUUGUAGUCUGCAACUCGACUACAUGAAGCUGGAAUUGCUAGUAAUGACGUGUCAGCAACAACGUCGUGAAUACGUUCCCGGGCCUUGUA
RNAcentral lists this ribosomal RNA (426 nucleotides) under uncultured Chlamydiae bacterium. Its description in RNAcentral is "bacterial SSU rRNA". It matches the Rfam family "Bacterial small subunit ribosomal RNA", at positions 958 to 1385 of the family's 1533-position model. The record is from RNAcentral. Lineage: Bacteria; Pseudomonadati; Chlamydiota; Chlamydiia.